This is a long non-coding RNA of Trifolium pratense (red clover), 1018 nucleotides long. RefSeq lists it as uncharacterized. Lineage: Eukaryota; Viridiplantae; Streptophyta; Magnoliopsida; Fabales; Fabaceae. The record is from RefSeq and is a predicted model, not a curated record. The transcript is spliced from 6 exons.
GAAUCUGAUCUGUGUUUAUUCGAAAAAACACAUGCUUGAUGAUCCAGAACUUAUGGAGAUCAAAAGAAAAGCAAAUACACCAAGUCUGAAGGAAAUGGCUACGCUUUUAAGGAGUGCAUCACAAAUAAUUUGGAUUGACCAGUUGCCAACUCUGUGGAUUGGGAAUUGACGUGGUCGAAGCAUAUAUAAGAAAUAGCAUCAGAGUCACUUUGGUGGCUGGAGUGUGUGAAGCAUAGUGACUAAUUUUAGUUCAUUGGUUCAAAUGGUAAUGCAAUGCAGCCUUAAUGCAGUUGUGUAUGGGAGUAACUGUUGGAUCAGGGCAUACAUUCUUACCUUAUAAUUAUUUGCUCUAAGUUUUCAUGAUUUUCCAUGCCUUGGGCUUUCAUUGUCAGCUUCUUGAUGCCACAAAAAGCUAAAAUAAUCUAACAUUGUGGACAGUUGCAAAAAGCUUUUAUAACAGUGCCUCACCAACUAGUACCUUUGAAUUUUAUUUUUGGUGUUGUGCCUCUCAAUGCUUCGCUCCAAAUGGAUAUUGGGUUAGUCUCGUGGAGGAUUGUAUCUGACAUUACUAAGGAUAGGAAGGUCCUUAAGAAGAUCUUGAAGGAAGGAGAGAGAUAUGAAAGACCAAAUGAUGGAGCUAUGGUUCUAGGUACAGUUUUGCUAAUAAAAGCUUUUAAAGGUUUUUGUACUUUGAUUUCAUUUGUAAAGUUGAGAAUAUUAUGUCUUCAUUUUCUUUAGGUUUUUUAGUUUUGACAAAGUUGGAAGAUAUACUUGAUUACUUAUAUAAUGCUAACAUGUGUUUAGUUACUUUGUUAUGCUUAAAAUUUAGUCUUGUAGUUGUAAAUCAUGUUCAUUUAAUUAGGCUUAUUUCGAUUUUUUAAUAGAUGAUAAAUAAUUUAUAAGUAGCUUUAAUUUUGGGCAUGAAUUUAUAAUCAGCAUUUUAUAAUUAUAUAUUUUUUUUUAAAAGCUUGGAUUUGGCUGCGAAAUCGCUAGGAAUGUGUAGCUAGAGAUUUAUUGC